AGAGUUUGAUCCUGGCUCAGGAUGAACGCUGGCGGCGUGCUUAACACAUGCAAGUCGAACGAAGCGCUUAAGAAAGAUUCUUCGGAUGAAAGCUUUUGUGACUGAGUGGCGGACGGGUGAGUAACGCGUGGGUAACCUGCCUCACACAGGGGGAUAACAGUUGGAAACGACCGCUAAUACCGCAUAACCCGCUGGUACCGCAUGGUACUGACGGAAAAGAUUUAUCGGUGUGAGAUGGACCCGCGUCUGAUUAGCCAGUUGGCAGGGUAACGGCCUACCAAAGCGACGAUCAGUAGCCGGCCUGAGAGGGUGAACGGCCACAUUGGGACUGAGACACGGCCCAAACUCCUACGGGAGGCAGCAGUGGGGAAUAUUGCACAAUGGGGGAAACCCUGAUGCAGCGACGCCGCGUGAGUGAAGAAGUAUUUCGGUAUGUAAAGCUCUAUCAGCAGGGAAGAAAAUGACGGUACCUGACCAAGAAGCCCCGGCUAACUACGUGCCAGCAGCCGCGGUAAUACGGAAGGUCCGGGCGUUAUCCGGAUUUAUUGGGUUUAAAGGGAGCGUAGGCCGGCUUUUAAGUCAGCUGUGAAAGUCCGCGGCUCAACCGUGGAAUUGCAGUUGAAACUGGAAGCCUUGAGUGAACACAGGGAUGCCGGAAUUCAUGGUGUAGCGGUGAAAUGCUUAGAUAUCAUGAAGAACUCCGAUCGCGAAGGCAAGUGUCCGGGGUGCAACUGACGCUGAGGCUCGAAAGCGUGGGGAGCACACAGGGAUUAGAUACCCCUGGAAUCCUCGCCGUAAACGAUGAUUACUAGGCGUCGGGGGGCAGGGGCCCUUCGGUGCCGCAGCAAACGCAAUAAGUAAUCCACCUGGGGAGUACGUCCGCAAGGAUGAAACUCAAAGGAAUUGACGGGGACCCGCACAAGCGGUGGAGCAUGUGGUUUAAUUCGAAGCAACGCGAAGAACCUUACCCGGCCCUGACAUCCCCCUGACAGUGUAUGUAAUGUACAUUCCCUUCGGGGCAGGGGAGACAGGUGGUGCAUGGUUGUCGUCAGCUCGUGUCGUGAGAUGUUGGGUUAAGUCCCGCAACGAGCGCAACCCUUACCCACAGUAGCCAGCACAAAAGGUGGGCACUCUGUGGGGACUGCCGGGGACAACCCGGAGGAAGGUGGGGAUGACGUCAAAUCAUCAUGCCCCUUAUGGCCGGGGCUACACACGUGCUACAAUGGCGUAAACAAAGGGAAGCGAGAGAGUGAUCUUAAGCGAAACUCAAAAAUAACGUCCCAGUUCGGAUUGCAGUCUGCAACUCGACUGCAUGAAGCUGGAAUCGCUAGUAAUCGCGGAUCAGAAUGCCGCGGUGAAUACGUUCCCGGGUCUUGCACACACCGCCCGUCA
Molecule: ribosomal RNA, 1392 nt
Filed under: uncultured bacterium
Lineage: Bacteria
Description: bacterial SSU rRNA
Rfam family: Bacterial small subunit ribosomal RNA
Source: RNAcentral